GACGAACGCUGGCGGCGUGCUUAACACAUGCAAGUCGAACGGAAAGGCCCUGCUUUUGUGGGGUGCUCGAGUGGCGAACGGGUGAGUAACACGUGAGUAACCUGCCCUUGACUUUGGGAUAACUUCAGGAAACUGGGGCUAAUACCGGAUAGGAGCUCCUGCUGCAUGGUGGGGGUUGGAAAGUUUCGGCGGUUGGGGAUGGACUCGCGGCUUAUCAGCUUGUUGGUGGGGUAGUGGCUUACCAAGGCUUUGACGGGUAGCCGGCCUGAGAGGGUGACCGGCCACAUUGGGACUGAGAUACGGCCCAGACUCCUACGGGAGGCAGCAGUGGGGAAUAUUGCACAAUGGGCGGAAGCCUGAUGCAGCAACGCCGCGUGCGGGAUGACGGCCUUCGGGUUGUAAACCGCUUUCGCCUGUGACGAAGCGUGAGUGACGGUAAUGGGUAAAGAAGCACCGGCUAUCUACGUG
RNAcentral lists this ribosomal RNA (468 nucleotides) under uncultured bacterium. RNAcentral describes it as "partial 16S ribosomal RNA". It matches the Rfam family "Bacterial small subunit ribosomal RNA", at positions 28 to 507 of the family's 1533-position model. The record is from RNAcentral.